Acinonyx jubatus (cheetah) is the source of this 2221-nucleotide RNA transcript. It is a transcript of the gene named solute carrier family 25 member 48, with no coding region annotated. The transcript has 9 exons. NCBI's taxonomy places the organism in Eukaryota, Metazoa, Chordata, Mammalia, Carnivora, Felidae. The record is from RefSeq and is a predicted model, not a curated record.
GGGGGCGGGCAUCUGGGCCUCGAGGCGCCGAGGACGUGUGGUGGCAAGGAGUGGGCGCGGGAGAAGGGCGGGCUAAGGGAACGCACCGCGCGGGCCCCAGCGUCCCGGACGGGCGAGGUGCGGCGCCUUUAAGGUCCGCUGGGGGCGUGCUAGCAGCGGCCACGGGCCCUUGGAGAGGUAAGCGCUGGCGCCCCGCGGGUCCUGUGCUCGGAGACGGGACUCGAAGUAGGACCUACGGCGCGCCCGAGUCUCCCACCUCCUCCCCCGAGCGCGGGCCGGCGGGUGGAACGCCCCGCGGACUCUCACUGGGCACCCACCCGGCUGCGGGAGCGCGAGGCGCCGCUACUGUGGCCAUGGGCAGCUUCCAGCUGGAGGACUUCGCGGCGGGCUGGAUCGGAGGUGCAGCCAGCGUCAUUGUCGGUCACCCUCUGGACACGGUCAAGACUCGCCUGCAGGCCGGCGUCAACUACGGGGACACCAUCAGCUGCAUCCGCACGGUGUACAGGAGGGAGAGUGUCUUCGGCUUCUUCAAGGGCAUGUCCUUUCCCCUUGCCAGCAUCGCGGUCUACAACUCUGCGGUGUUUGGGGUCUUCAGUAACACGCAGAGGUUCCUCAGCCAGCACCACUGCAGGGAGCCCGGGGCCAGCCCGUCCGGCACCCUGUCUGACCUUCUCCUGGCCAGCAUGGUGGCUGGCGUGGUCUCUGUGGGGCUGGGCACGCCCGUAGACCUCAUCAAGAUCCGGCUGCAGAUGCAAACACAGCCAUUUCAGGAAGCCAACCUUGGUUUGAGACCCAGGGCGAUGACUCUUGGGAAGCCACCAGUCUACCAGGGGCCUGUGGAUUGCAUUGCAACCAUCGUGCGGACCGAGGGCCUGGCAGGGAUGUACCGGGGUGUUGGCGCCAUGCUACUGAGGGAUGUCCCGGGCUAUUGCCUCUACUUCAUCCCCUAUGUGUUCCUGAAUGACUGGAUCACACCCGAGGCCUGCACGGGCCCCAGCCUCUGUGCUGUGUGGCUGGCAGGCGGCAUGGCAGGAGCAAUUUCUUGGGGGACAGCGACUCCUAUGGAUGUCGUGAAAAGUCGACUCCAAGCUGAUGGGGUUUAUUUAAACAAAUACAAAGGUGUCCUGGAUUGUAUCUCCCAGAGUUACCAGAAGGAAGGUCUUAAAGGCCCAGCACUGUGGGAGAGGAGAUCCACAUUCCAAGCUGGGCCCUGCCUGGCUCAGCCUCACAGAACAGAGUCAAGCCCAGGCCCACAGGGGAGUGUCUGUUGCACCCAGCAUGGAAUUUUCCUCUCGGAGCUCGAGCCAGUUCCUUGCUGUUAUUCAGUCACUGUGGGUGUUUUUCAGAGGCAUCACUGUGAAUGCUGUGCGCGGCUUCCCCAUGAGUGCCGCCAUGUUCCUCGGGUAUGAAUUCUCGCUGCAGGCAAUCCGCGGGGACCACGCCGUGACUAGCCCCUGAGCGCCAGCCAGCGUGCAGUCCUGGAAGAGCUGCCACUGUGUCUCCGCCUCUGUGUCACUGGUGCCUCACGCGGAGCCCGACACCCAGAUGGCCCCUCAGAAACAUCACUGAGAAGACGGGCAAUCAAGUGCCAGCGUCCCCUCACCUCCUCCCCUUCUUUUCCUCCCUGUUUCUCCUUCUCUGGCUCCACACUGGUGUCCUGCAGAGCUGAGAAGAUAAGGUGGAACGAGUCACUGAAUUUUCUAGUCAACAAGAAACCAUUUUGCUUCAGCCUUGGCGACUACGAAUUCUCUCAAGAAGGAUGGCUUUUGUCAGAAAGGUCUCGCAGUCCUCUCUGCUGCCUUCCCUGGGCCAGCAGAGGCCUGCUAGCAUUCGUGGACGGGCCCAGACCCUAGACCCAGGGGAGGGGUGUGAUGGAUCAGGCCGAUGAGACUGAGCCCAGGACAAGGCUUAGAAUGCCGGCUUCAUCAGAUGAUUUAGCUUUUCACUAAAGCACCCACACUCACAGCUCUCCUGGCUUUUGGCUCUCUCUUACAAAAGGAAAAGAGUAGUAACACAUUUUGCAUAAUUAAAUGUCUUGAGUGGGUUUUGUCCAAGGCGAGGAAGAAGAACCGCCUGGUUCUUAAAGCUUUGCUCAGAUAUCAGCUGCUUUCCACCUUGAACAGGUGAAAAUAGCUUUCAAGAAAAAAAAAUCCUAUCAUAAAAUCCGUGCCUCUUUAUUGCAGAAAAAAAUAGAAAAUACAAACAGAACACAAGAAAAUAA